AUGUCAUCUUGCACCCCCCGUGAGAAUAUCACGACAUUUGGCGCCCACCGUGGGGCGAUACUAUGCUACCGCAAUGCGACUGGUUUUGCAGUCUGGGCGGGACCAUCUUCGUCAUCUCCGCCACGGCGUCACGCCGUCUCUUCGGUAGCGCUUGGGGGCUCGACUUCGACCCGCCCUCGGAGCGGCCGUGCGGGAUGGCGCGCCCUCGCCGUCGGCUUCGCCAUCUUCGUCAUCACCAACGCAGCGCCGGCCGUCCAUCCGUGCGCGUGUGCGGUGCCUCGUUUCGGUCGGCCAUGUCCAUCCACGCGCCGCUCGCGUCUGCUCCCCUUCGCGUUGUGCCUUGCUCCGGCCGAAAUGCACUUUUGCUCCAUAUUUCGUUUAUCCAAGCUAGCUAGAUGCAAGUCAUACAUGGUCAAAGCAUAG
RNAcentral lists this ribosomal RNA (423 nucleotides) under Triticum aestivum (bread wheat). RNAcentral's name for it is "partial small subunit ribosomal RNA". Lineage: Eukaryota; Viridiplantae; Streptophyta; Magnoliopsida; Poales; Poaceae. The record is from RNAcentral.